UGACCAAACGUGAUAGAACUCAAAACUCUAAAGGUUAGACACUAAGACCAGCAGUUCUACACAUUGAUGUAACCAAAAACUCAACAAGAAAAGAUUAAGAAGAAUAGCAAAGGCUCAAACUUGUUGUUGGGAAUUUCACAUCUAACCCAUUUUGGGGGAUUUUUGGACUGUAGGUAAAGUAAAACGGGUAAAUCACUCACCAAAGAACCUCGCUCUGCUACCACAUGAUGUGAA
This 234-nucleotide long non-coding RNA is filed under the name Setaria italica (foxtail millet). RNAcentral describes it as "long non-coding RNA (SITA_LNC000322)". Lineage: Eukaryota; Viridiplantae; Streptophyta; Magnoliopsida; Poales; Poaceae. The record is from RNAcentral.